Molecule: ribosomal RNA, 421 nt
Filed under: uncultured fungus
Lineage: Eukaryota; Fungi
Description: SSU rRNA
Rfam family: Eukaryotic small subunit ribosomal RNA
Source: RNAcentral
AAUUUCUGCCCUAUCAGCGAAAGGUAGGAAGGGGACUACCAUGGUGGCAACGGGUAACGGGGAAUUAGGGUUCGAUUCCGGAGAGGGAGCCUGAGAUACGCCCCACCACAUCCAAGGAAGGAAAAAAGCGCGCAAAUUACCCAAUCCCGACACGGGGAGGUAGUGACAAUAAAUACUGAUACAGGGCUCUUUUGGGUCUCGUAAUUGGAUAUGAGAACAAUCUAAAUCCCUUAACGAGGAACAAUUGGAGGGCAAGUCUGGUGCCAGCAGCCGCGGUAAUUCCAGCUCCAAUAGCGUAUAUUAAAGUUGUUGCAGUUAAAAAGCUCGUAGUUGAACCUUGGGUCUGGCUGGCCGGUCCGCCUCACCGCGAGUACUGGUCCGGAUGGACCUUUCCUUCUGGGGAAUCCCAUGGCCUUCACUG